This 114-nucleotide small nucleolar RNA is filed under the name Zalophus californianus (California sea lion). RNAcentral's name for it is "Small nucleolar RNA U3 (ENSZCAG00015017904.1)". It matches the Rfam family "Small nucleolar RNA U3". Rfam says of the family: Small nucleolar RNAs (snoRNAs) are involved in the processing and modification of rRNA in the nucleolus. There are two main classes of snoRNAs: the box C/D class, and the box H/ACA class. Lineage: Eukaryota; Metazoa; Chordata; Mammalia; Carnivora; Otariidae. The record is from RNAcentral. RNAcentral also lists the same sequence under 1 other name.
AAGACUAUACUUUCAGGGAUCAUUUCUAUAGUUUGUUACUAAGUUCACUUUAACAAAUACUUACCGAGGGCGCCUGAGUGGCUCAGUUGGUUGAGCAGCUGCCUUCGGCUCAGG